RNAcentral lists this ribosomal RNA (1373 nucleotides) under uncultured bacterium. Its description in RNAcentral is "bacterial SSU rRNA". It matches the Rfam family "Bacterial small subunit ribosomal RNA", at positions 28 to 1381 of the family's 1533-position model. The record is from RNAcentral.
GAUGAACGCUGGCGGCGUGCCUAAUACAUGCAAGUCGAGCGAACGGACGAGAAGCUUGCUUCUCUGAUGUUAGCGGCGGACGGGUGAGUAACACGUGGAUAACCUACCUAUAAGACUGGGAUAACUUCGGGAAACCGGAGCUAAUACCGGAUGAUAUUUUGAACCGCAUGGUUCAAAAGUGAAAGACGGUCUUGCUGUCACUUAUAGAUGGAUCCGCGCUGCAUUAGCUAGUUGGUAAGGUAACGGCUUACCAAGGCAACGAUGCAUAGCCGACCUGAGAGGGUGAUCGGCCACACUGGAACUGAGACACGGUCCAGACUCCUACGGGAGGCAGCAGUAGGGAAUCUUCCGCAAUGGGCAAAAGCCUGACGGAGCAACGCCGCGUGAGUGAUGAAGGUCUUCGGAUCGUAAAACUCUGUUAUUAGGGAAGAACAUAUGUGUAAGUAACUGUGCACAUCUUGACGGUACCUAAUCAGAAAGCCACGGCUAACUACGUGCCAGCAGCCGCGGUAAUACGUAGGUGGCAAGCGUUAUCCGGAAUUAUUGGGCGUAAAGCGCGCGUAGGCGGUUUUUUUAAGUCUGAUGUGAAAGCCCACGGCUCAACCGUGGAGGGUCAUUGGAAACUGGAAAACUUGAGUGCAGAAGAGGAAAGUGGAAUUCCAUGUGUAGCGGUGAAAUGCGCAGAGAUAUGGAGGAACACCAGUGGCGAAGGCGACUUUCUGGUCUGUAACUGACGCUGAUGUGCGAAAGCGUGGGGAUCAAACAGGAUUAGAUACCCUGGUAGUCCACGCCGUAAACGAUGAGUGCUAAGUGUUAGGGGGUUUCCGCCCCUUAGUGCUGCAGCUAACGCAUUAAGCACUCCGCCUGGGGAGUACGACCGCAAGGUUGAAACUCAAAGGAAUUGACGGGGACCCGCACAAGCGGUGGAGCAUGUGGUUUAAUUCGAAGCAACGCGAAGAACCUUACCAAAUCUUGACAUCCUUUGACAACUCUAGAGAUAGAGCCUUCCCCUUCGGGGGACAAAGUGACAGGUGGUGCAUGGUUGUCGUCAGCUCGUGUCGUGAGAUGUUGGGUUAAGUCCCGCAACGAGCGCAACCCUUAAGCUUAGUUGCCAUCAUUAAGUUGGGCACUCUAAGUUGACUGCCGGUGACAAACCGGAGGAAGGUGGGGAUGACGUCAAAUCAUCAUGCCCCUUAUGAUUUGGGCUACACACGUGCUACAAUGGACAAUACAAAGGGCAGCGAAACCGCGAGGUCAAGCAAAUCCCAUAAAGUUGUUCUCAGUUCGGAUUGUAGUCUGCAACUCGACUACAUGAAGCUGGAAUCGCUAGUAAUCGUAGAUCAGCAUGCUACGGUGAAUACGUUCCCGGGUCU